Molecule: ribosomal RNA, 500 nt
Filed under: uncultured bacterium
Lineage: Bacteria
Description: partial 16S ribosomal RNA
Rfam family: Bacterial small subunit ribosomal RNA
Source: RNAcentral
AUUGAACGCUGGCGGCAGGCCUAACACAUGCAAGUCGAGCGGAUGACGGGAGCUUGCUCCUUGAUUCAGCGGCGGACGGGUGAGUAAUGCCUAGGAAUCUGCCUGGUAGUGGGGGACAACGUUUCGAAAGGAACGCUAAUACCGCAUACGUCCUACGGGAGAAAGCAGGGGACCUUCGGGCCUUGCGCUAUCAGAUGCGCCUAGGUCGGAUUAGCUAGUUGGUGGGGUAAUGGCUCACCAAGGCGACGAUCCGUAACUGGUCUGAGAGGAUGAUCAGUCAAACUGGAACUGAGACACGGUCCAGACUCCUACGGGAGGCAGCAGUGGGGAAUAUUGGACAAUGGGCGAAAGCCUGAUCCAGCCAUGCCGUGUGUGUGAAGAAGGUCUUCGGAUUGUAAAGCACUUUAAGUUGGGAGGAAGGGCAGUAAGUUAAUACCUUGCUGUUUUGACGUUACCGACAGAAUAAGCACCGGCUAACUCUGUGCCAGCAGCCGCAGUAA